Molecule: ribosomal RNA, 483 nt
Filed under: uncultured bacterium
Lineage: Bacteria
Description: partial 16S ribosomal RNA
Rfam family: Bacterial small subunit ribosomal RNA
Source: RNAcentral
ACUCAAAUGAAUUGACGGGGUCUCGCACAAGCGGUGGAGCGUGUUGUUUAAUUCGACGGUAAGCGAAGAACCUUACCAGGGUUUGACAUCCUGCCAAGGUCUCCGAAAGGAGACUGUGCCUUCGGGCCGCAGUGACAGGUGAUGCAUGGCCGUCUUCAGCUCGUGUCGUGAGAUGUUUGGUUAAGUCCAUCAACGAGCGCAACCCUUAUAGUUAGUUGAAUUUCUCUAGCUAGACUGCCCCGGUAACGGGGAGGAAGGAGGGGAUGAUGUCAGGUCAUUAUUUCCCUUACACCCUGGGCUACAAACACGCUACAAUGGCCGGUACAAAGGGCUGCCAACCCGCAAGGGGGAGCAAAUCCCAUCAAAGCCGGUCUCAGUUCGGAUUGAGGGCUGAAACCCGCCCUCAUGAAGCUGGAAUCGCUAGUAAUGGUAGGUCAGCACACUACCGUGAAUACGUUCCCGAGACUUGUACACACCGCCCGU